UGGGGAAUAUUGGACAAUGGGGGAAACCCUGAUCCAGCGACGCCGCGUGUGUGAAGAAGGCCUGCGGGUUGUAAAGCACUUUCGGUGGGAACGAAAUAUGCCGGGCUAAUACCCCGGUAGGCUGACGUUACUCAAUGAAGAAGCACCGGCUAACUCUGUGCCAGCAGCCGCGGUAAUACAGAGGGUGCGAGCGUUAAUCGGAAUUACUGGGCGUAAAGCGCGCGUAGGCGGCUUAACAAGUCAGAGGUGAAAGCCUGGAGCUCAACUCCAGAACUGCCUUUGAAACUGUUAAGCUUGAGUGUCGGAGGGGAUAGCGGAAUUUCUAAUGUAGAGGUGAAAUUCGUAGAUAUUAGAAGGAACACCGGUGGCGAAGGCGGCUAUCUGGACGACAACUGACGCUGAGGCGCGAAAGCGUGGGGAUCAAACAGGAUUAGAUACCCAAGUAGUCCCUGAGCGGGCUGGCAAGGCGCAU
RNAcentral lists this ribosomal RNA (472 nucleotides) under uncultured bacterium. RNAcentral's name for it is "bacterial SSU rRNA". It matches the Rfam family "Bacterial small subunit ribosomal RNA", at positions 355 to 825 of the family's 1533-position model. The record is from RNAcentral.